GUGGGGAAUAUUGCACAAUGGGCGCAAGCCUGAUGCAGCCAUGCCGCGUGUGUGAAGAAGGCCUUCGGGUUGUAAAGCACUUUCAGCGGGGAGGAAGGCGAUAAGGUUAAUAACCUUGUCGAUUGACGUUACCCGCAGAAGAAGCACCGGCUAACUCCGUGCCAGCAGCCGCGGUAAUACGGAGGGUGCAAGCGUUAAUCGGAAUUACUGGGCGUAAAGCGCACGCAGGCGGUCUGUCAAGUCGGAUGUGAAAUCCCCGGGCUCAACCUGGGAACUGCAUUCGAAACUGGCAGGCUAGAGUCUUGUAGAGGGGGGUAGAAUUCCAGGUGUAGCGGUGAAAUGCGUAGAGAUCUGGAGGAAUACCGGUGGCGAAGGCGGCCCCCUGGACAAAGACUGACGCUCAGGUGCGAAAGCGUGGGGAGCAAACAGGAUUAGAUACCCCGGUAGUCC
RNAcentral lists this ribosomal RNA (450 nucleotides) under uncultured bacterium. RNAcentral's name for it is "partial 16S ribosomal RNA". It matches the Rfam family "Bacterial small subunit ribosomal RNA", at positions 354 to 796 of the family's 1533-position model. The record is from RNAcentral.